CUGAGCUUUUCUGGCCAGGGCCACUGCAGUGCAACGUUCAGACACUGCUGCUCUGGGCUGCAGUGCUGGGGCUCUGAUGAAGACAGCAACACAUCACUUUCCACUGCUUCUCCAUCAAUUUAUGCUCUUCUUCUCCAAGGCAGGCACAAGCCAUCCUACUUGCUGCUCCUCCACCGCAGGCAAGACUGCAAUUAGUUUUCCAGCUGGUCCUCUCACUCAGAUCAUCCCAAAUGAACAACACUACCACUUCAAAGGGGGAGGUACGAAGGAUGGGACUGCAGCGGCCUGCAGUACUAAGGAACGCGCUAACCAACAACCGUGUCCUUCCAACGGCUCAGUUUCAUACACACUUUUGAGCUUUGUCCAUGACCUCUGCAGAUUAUCUCUUAUGAAACACAUAGGAAAUCCUUUCUGUACCAAGAGUCUACGCUCAUUUCACACCUUAUGCUCAGGUCAAUUAAAAUUUGGAUUCAUCUGCCUAUAUAAUUAGAGGCACAUGAGCCUGGAACUAGGAGUUACCUUUGUAUCCAAAAGAGAAACAGCAACCCAUUCACAUUAAGUAAUACCUCACCAGAUACCACAUUAAAAUUUCGUUUUGUUAUCAUGUAUAAAAGAAGAAGUAUUACCUUGAGACUUGGAGUUUUUUUAAAUUUUAUUUAAGCUUAUAUACUGUUAUCACAUUAAAGACUAACUAUUCAGAAAUUUUACUUUUAGUCCUGCACAAGUUUUAGAGGCAACAAUCCAAAUAUCCAAAAGUAGGCCAGGCUACAGAUGAUAAUACACUGCAGAUUAAACAGAGGGAAAAUGCAAAGAGGAAAGAGACAAACACCAGGAAAGUCUCCAAGAGGCAAAGGUCAGAUAACUUUUAUUACAGCAGCAGAAACCUUUAUUUGAUUUUCAUCAACAGCCCCAUUCAAUAAUCUACACGAGGUGAAUGACGGAAACAAAUUCCAGACCAAUACAAGACGUUGAAAGAACCUGGAAGAUCAGUAUUCCCAUUAGAAGUUACAAGCUAAUCAUGGGAAAAAACCCAAGAUUCACUAAAUGAGCAUGAUGCCAGAUUCCAUCCAAGUUUUGGAAGAAACACCAAGCUUCAGCACAUACUUCGUAACAACCACUAAGUUCUGCCACAAACCACAUGCCCAUAUUUGUGUCAAGAAUAAACUGAUUAUUAAAAGCUUC
This is a long non-coding RNA of Corvus hawaiiensis (hawaiian crow), 1182 nucleotides long. RefSeq lists it as uncharacterized. The record is from RefSeq and is a predicted model, not a curated record. NCBI's taxonomy places the organism in Eukaryota, Metazoa, Chordata, Aves, Passeriformes, Corvidae. The transcript has 2 exons.